AACGAACGCUGGCGGCAGGCCUAACACAUGCAAGUCGAGCGCCCUUUCGGGGGAGCGGCGGACGGGUGAGUAACGCGUGGGAAUAUGCCCUUCUCUACGGAAUAGCCUCGGGAAACUGAGAGUAAUACCGUAUACGCCCUGUGGGGGAAAGAUUUAUCGGGGAAGGAUUAGCCCGCGUUGGAUUAGGUAGUUGGUGGGGUAAUGGCCUACCAAGCCGACGAUCCAUAGCUGGUUUGAGAGGAUGAUCAGCCACACUGGGACUGAGACACGGCCCAGACUCCUACGGGAGGCAGCAGUGGGGAAUCUUAGACAAUGGGGGCAACCCUGAUCGAGCCAUGCCGCGUGAGUGAUGAAGGCCUUAGGGUUGUAAAGCUCUUUCAGCUGGGAAGAUAAUGACGGUACCAGCAGAAGAAGCCCCGGCUAACUACGUG
RNAcentral lists this ribosomal RNA (431 nucleotides) under uncultured bacterium. Its description in RNAcentral is "partial 16S ribosomal RNA". It matches the Rfam family "Bacterial small subunit ribosomal RNA", at positions 29 to 507 of the family's 1533-position model. The record is from RNAcentral.